RNAcentral lists this transfer RNA (67 nucleotides) under Fringilla coelebs (chaffinch). RNAcentral describes it as "tRNA-Lys". The record is from RNAcentral. Lineage: Eukaryota; Metazoa; Chordata; Aves; Passeriformes; Fringillidae.
CAUUAAGAAGCUAUGAAUCAGCAUUAGCCUUUUAAGCUAAAGAAAGAGGGAAUCCCCUCCUUAAUGA